UUGAUGCUAUGAGAUGGUCUCAUCAAUGUGCAACAAUUGAACUGGAUUUCCAACUUCCUGAGAGAUUCAACCUCACGCUAGGAUUUUAUGGCUUUCUCCCCAUCAAGUUGUAGUAAUUCCUGUCAGUAGUAAAUAUGAUGAUUAUGCCGAACCGGUAAAUUUAAUUUGAUUCAAAAGAAGUUCCAUGCAGCUGGUUAUCGUGUUGAUACAGACUUGGAUCACGGAUCAACACUAAAUAAGAAAGUUCGCAAUGCACAACUUUCACAGUACAACUUCAUUCUUGUUGUUGGUGAAAAAGAGACGGUCUCAGACACGGUCAACGUCAGAACACGUGACAACAAAGUACUCGGUGAAAAAUCGGUCAUGGCCGUGAUCGAACGCUUGCGAGAUUUAGUCAGCUCACGAAGUCUGACAAGCGAAGAUUUUUGAAGUAAAACAACAUUUUUAUGAAAAAUAGGUACGCGUACAUGCCACUGGUCACUGGCAAACUGGCGGCAUUGGUCACUAAUACUUUAUCAGUGGUGGUAAUAUUGAUUUUAUCGUGGUGGUAAAUUCUUCCAUUGGUAAUUUAUGGCGAUAACCAUCAGCAACUUUUCA
This is a long non-coding RNA of Xenia sp. Carnegie-2017, 597 nucleotides long. RefSeq lists it as uncharacterized. Lineage: Eukaryota; Metazoa; Cnidaria; Anthozoa; Malacalcyonacea; Xeniidae. The transcript is spliced from 5 exons. The record is from RefSeq and is a predicted model, not a curated record.